GCUGCCCGUAGGGUCUGUCCCGUCCCGCCGGGCCCCUUACCUGCCGCCGCCAUGCGCCACAGCCUCACCCAGCUGCUGGCGGCCUCCUCCGGCGGAGCGAGCCCUUCGGGCGCCGUCUGGCCGCUAACCGGCGCGGGGCAGGCCCCGAGAGGGCGGGAUGGCGGCGGGGAAGGGGAUCCGGGCCCCGCGCGGCCCAAACAACAACAGCCGCCGCGGCGGGAAGCGGGCGCUUUGGAGCCGCGGCGGCAGGAAAAGGAACCGGAGGCGCCUGGUGGCCCGCUGGAGGUGUGGGAGCAAGAGGACUGGUUCCCGGGGCUGGAGCUGGGAGACCUACUAGAGGCGGCCCGGCCGGACUGGGACCUGGACGCGGAGCUGAGCGGCUGCUUCUGUGAGGAACCGGAGCAGCUGCCCUCGCCGGGCCAGGGCCAGAAGCCGGCGGCGCCCGGGCGGAGGAACGGCGGGACUGGGAGCCGGCUAAAAGCGGCGGCGGCCGCACGGCUGAACCGGCUGAAGAAGAAGCAAUACGUUCUGGGUCUGGAAAGCCGCCUCCAGGGCCUAGCUGCCGAGAACCGCCAGCUGCGGGACCGCAACCGUGGCUUGAGUCGCCGCCUGCGAGAGCUGGAGCGGGAAAGCAGCUACCUGCGGGCCGUGCUGGCUAAUCAGAGCGCCCUGGGGCAGCUCCUGAGCCGCUUAGCCGGGAUCCGUGCCGGCGGGCUGCAGCUCAGCACUAGCCUCUUCAGGGACAUGGGCAGCCCCCGCCGCCAUCACCACCACCUCCAGCCCGCCGGAGAGAGCAGCGACCAUGACUACGCCCUGCCCAGCUCUCGGCCUCCGAGCCUGGAGGACGCGGCGGUGGGGACGGAGGCGGACGAGGAGUGGGCGGCCCCCGGCGGGAUCUGCCUUCACGUGGACCGGGAUCAGGUGUCGGUGGAGUUUUGCUCCAUCUGUGCUCGGCGGGCAGCGGCCUCCUUCAAAAUGUAGGGUCAAGUACCUGCUGCAAGUACUCGUGGGGUUGUCGUCCCUAGGGGCCUCGCGUCGUGGCGGAGGAAGCAGGCGAUGUUUCUCUUUUAGGUGCUUGCCCUGCCAGGCUCCGUUGUGUAGGGGUUAAAGAACAGUCGUUUUCCACCUCGCAACCUGUGGAUUCAGCUGUGUUGGGGCAGAAGAGACGGGACCAGCUGCUGACCACAUUUCCUGCUUUAUUUUAAAAGGUAGUAUGAGAAAUGUGAAUAAAGAGGUAACAGGGCUUUUGCUGUCUUUGGUAUAAAACAAAAAAAGUUGAAUGCUGGAAUCAUUUACUGUUAUCCAAGAUGGUUUUUAGAAGACAGUAUCCUAUCAAAUAGGUUUUAUUCCACUGUAUGCAGAAUUCCAUCUGUUCGGGAUAUACUGGCAGCACAAAAGAGACUUAGUGAGGUGUGUUUUACCUUUACACCUCCAUGGUGGCAUGAACAGGACCGUUCAAAGGUUCCACCUUAAACUGGGUAACCCUGCUGUAGCUGAUGGGUUACACCAGUGCCACAGGAAUCAGACCUGUACUGACUGAUAUGCAACAUGGAAAUAAUUGAGUUAGGCUAGGCCUAGGCUCAAUCUGCUAAACUCAGAGUUGUUGAAUGGACUUUGUUUUGAAGUCAAACAUAUUUGAUGAAAAGAGAAGCACAAAUAUAGCAAGUAUGGGAUGUUACAAUGGCAUUUUUUAUGGUUACUUCAGUGUAGAAGUGGUUUUUGAGUUAAGUUAAAUAGGCAUUCUUUCUUUUGCAUCACUGCUAAACAGUAGAGGUCAGGCAUGCAGUUCUGGUCUCUGUUGUGAACCUGCACAUUGCUCUAAUGAAACUACCUGUGAGCUGUGUCUGAGAGUAGCUGAUUUUCUGACAUGCAAAGUGAUGUGUACUGGUACAAGAACAAGGUCACGUCCCGAGGAAGUAGGUGGCUGCAGGCAUUUCUAGUGCCUACUGAUUCAUACUUAAACCAAACAGAGGGGAGGAAAUGAUUUGAAACUCUUAAGCGACUGUACUAUCUGUAUGGUGUAUUAUUAAUGUAGCUUUUUGAAGUGGAAGCCUUGAAAUGAUAUAACUUAAUACUUGAAAAUACAUUGUAAAUGUUUCUUUGUAAUUACAUGCCACCCAGAUGAGAAUACAAUAUCGUAAUAAAAUCAGACUUGUUCUUUCAA
Dryobates pubescens (Downy woodpecker) is the source of this 2164-nucleotide RNA transcript. It is a transcript of the gene named CREB/ATF bZIP transcription factor, with no coding region annotated. The record is from RefSeq and is a predicted model, not a curated record. Lineage: Eukaryota; Metazoa; Chordata; Aves; Piciformes; Picidae. The transcript is spliced from 3 exons.